UUUUAGUUUUGUCGAAGUUUUGUUGAUGUUCUGUGCGAUUGACAAACAAGAUAGCAGGCCAGGGACUUGGAUUUAUGUCAGAGUUGUCCUGUUACCCCAUUUUAAUGGUUCCAUGGCUUGCCUCACUGUAAGACCUCACCCAUAUACAACAAUGCAGCAACUCACUCAUAAGGCAUAAGGGAUUUCGGUCACCGCCUUAGAUUGUGUGAUCCUUGAAAAGCUGAGUGAAUCAAAGUAGAUAUCAAGCAUGAGGGAAUUUUUAAUUGGUCGACAUAUGAUUUCCGUUGGUAACUUGCAUAUGAUAAACUGAUAUCUACAUUCAUGCACACAAAGACAGCAGUAGAUUAAACAAGACGGCCUACAGCUUUGGCAAACAUGCUAAACUAUGGUUAUGGUGUUGGAUCUACAUGGAAAGGUUCCAUGGCAUGCUUCACUGUAUGACCUCACCCAUAUACAACAAUGCAGCAACUCACUCAUAAGGCUGAUUUCGGUGACCGCCUUAGAUUGUGUGAUCCUUGAAAAGCUGAGUGAAUCGAAG
This is a non-coding RNA of Ciona intestinalis (vase tunicate), 538 nucleotides long. The record is from RefSeq and is a predicted model, not a curated record. Lineage: Eukaryota; Metazoa; Chordata; Ascidiacea; Phlebobranchia; Cionidae.